AUACUUAUCUGGCACGGGGGAUACCAUGAUCAUGAAGGCGGUUUUCCCAGGGUGAUGCUUAUCCAUUGCACCCCAGAUGUGCUGACCCCUGUGAUUUCCCCAAAUGUAGGAAACUUGAAUGCAUAAUUUGUGGUAGUGGGGGACUGAGUUUGCGCUCUCUCCUU
Molecule: small nuclear RNA, 164 nt
Organism: Neomonachus schauinslandi (Hawaiian monk seal)
Lineage: Eukaryota; Metazoa; Chordata; Mammalia; Carnivora; Phocidae
Product: U1 spliceosomal RNA
Exons: 1
Source: RefSeq, a predicted model, not a curated record